RNAcentral lists this ribosomal RNA (529 nucleotides) under uncultured bacterium. RNAcentral describes it as "bacterial SSU rRNA". It matches the Rfam family "Bacterial small subunit ribosomal RNA", at positions 777 to 1304 of the family's 1533-position model. The record is from RNAcentral.
AAUAGAUACCCAGGUAGUCCACGCCGUAAACGAUGAGUGCUAAGUGUUAGAGGGUUUCCGCCCUUUAGUGCUGAAGUUAACGCAUUAAGCACUCCGCCUGGGGAGUACGGCCGCAAGGCUGAAACUCAAAGGAAUUGACGGGGGGCCCGCACAAGCGGUGGAGCAUGUGGUUUAAUUCGAAGCAACGCGAAGAACCUUACCAGGUCUUGACAUCCUCUGACAACCCUAGAGAUAGGGCUUCUCCUUCGGGAGCAGAGUGACAGGUGGUGCAUGGUUGUCGUCAGCUCGUGUCGUGAGAUGUUGGGUUAAGUCCCGCAACGAGCGCAACCCUUGAUCUUAGUUGCCAUCAUUCAGUUGGGCACUCUAAGGUGACUGCCGGUGACAAACCGGAGGAAGGUGGGGAUGACGUCAAAUCAUCAUGCCCCUUAUGACCUGGGCUACACACGUGCUACAAUGGACGGUACAAAGAGCUGCAAGACCGCGAGGUGGAGCUAAUCUCAUAAAACCCGUUCUCAGUUCGGAUUGUAGG